Non-coding RNA from Desmophyllum pertusum, 81 nucleotides. Lineage: Eukaryota; Metazoa; Cnidaria; Anthozoa; Scleractinia; Caryophylliidae. The record is from the annotation of a GenBank genome assembly.
GGCUAGAGGUGCAGUGGCCUAAUGGUUAAACACAUUGGACUCCAACUCGAGCGGUCCAGGUUCGAGCGCUGGCUGGGGUCA